AGGAGUGUAGCUCAGUGGUAGAGCACUUGCCUAACAUUGUGUGGCCCUGCGUCAAUCACUGGCACUUAAGAAAUAAAAAAGAACAACCCAGGCAAUAAACAAAGGGGCCUCUCCUUUUAUUCUUA
This 125-nucleotide transfer RNA is filed under the name Fukomys damarensis (Damara mole-rat). It matches the Rfam family "tRNA". Rfam says of the family: Transfer RNA (tRNA) molecules are approximately 80 nucleotides in length. Their secondary structure includes four short double-helical elements and three loops (D, anti-codon, and T loops). Lineage: Eukaryota; Metazoa; Chordata; Mammalia; Rodentia; Bathyergidae. The record is from Rfam by way of RNAcentral.